AUCACCUACCAAAAAGGACCAAAGAGAAAAAGACUGGGAAAUGCCACACACGGAUGAGCCACAGGAUUGAUGUUUCCCGAUUAGGAACUAUUCCAGCACCAAAUCUUCUCUACUGCAGCGGAUUGGGUGUGAUCUCCUGUGCUGUGCAUGGAACAUGGUCCUGCUGGGAAAACAUCCCCCAUCUCCCAUGGCUGUACGUUCUCAGCGGUUCUCAGCCCUGCGGUUUGUGAUGGGAUCCACACCUGAGCUUCUGCACAAGGGAAUCCGGUUGGAAGGACCACUGUGAAAUGAAUACAGCGAAAGAAACAGAACGUGGUGUUUCACAGAGGAAAUUCAAAUGAAGAGGCUGUGACCCAUCAGAAGGAAUCCAAACAAAUCUGCCAGAGUUAGGAGAAUUCAAGAGGAAUAGAGUUGUUCAGUCCUUCAAUCAACAAUCAUUUUCUAAAGUUACCAUCACUGGCCUUAGAAAUAGAAGAUCUGAAGAGAAAUUGUAAACCACAGUAAAUGCUGACCUGAGAUAGAUAUUUGUCCUGACAGAAGAAGCUGCUGAAAGAAGAGUUUGAGAAGUGCCUGUAAAAAACCCUGAGCUUAUAUCAUUUGAAGAAUAUUUGAAACAGUUGCUGAACAGCCAACUUUAGAGCUAUUUUAACAGUACUCUCCAAGUAGAUACGCUCACAGAAAUUGUGCUGCUUUUGGAGAUCACUGAUUUGAAAUGUUGCUUCUGAGACUUUACAUCUAUGUCUGUUUCAGAACCAGGACCCUGUUCAUUUCAUCAGCUGAAAUAACACAGUUUGGGUAUGUUAAA
Long non-coding RNA from Hirundo rustica (Barn swallow), 805 nucleotides. RefSeq lists it as uncharacterized. The record is from RefSeq and is a predicted model, not a curated record. The transcript has 4 exons. Lineage: Eukaryota; Metazoa; Chordata; Aves; Passeriformes; Hirundinidae.